AGAACGAACGCUGGCGGCAUGCCUAAUACAUGCAAGUCGAACGAACACUUCGGUGUUAGUGGCGCACGGGUGCGUAACGCGUGGGAAUCUGCCCUUGGGUUCGGAAUAACAGUUGGAAACGACUGCUAAUACCGGAUGAUAUCGAAAGAUCAAAGAUUUAUCGCCCAGGGAUGAGCCCGCGUAGGACUAGCUAGUUGGUGAGGUAAAGGCUCACCAAGGCGACGAUCCUUAGCUGGUCUGAGAGGAUGAUCAGCCACACUGGGACUGAGACACGGCCCAGACUCCUACGGGAGCAGCAGUAGGGAAUAUUGGACAAUGGGCGCAAGCCUGAUCCAGCAAUGCCGCGUGAGUGAUGAA
Molecule: ribosomal RNA, 357 nt
Filed under: uncultured soil bacterium
Lineage: Bacteria
Description: bacterial SSU rRNA
Rfam family: Bacterial small subunit ribosomal RNA
Source: RNAcentral